This 97-nucleotide transfer RNA is filed under the name Scedosporium apiospermum. It matches the Rfam family "tRNA". Rfam says of the family: Transfer RNA (tRNA) molecules are approximately 80 nucleotides in length. Their secondary structure includes four short double-helical elements and three loops (D, anti-codon, and T loops). Lineage: Eukaryota; Fungi; Ascomycota; Sordariomycetes; Microascales; Microascaceae. The record is from Rfam by way of RNAcentral.
GGUCGGUUAGCUCAGUUGGUUAGAGCGUGGUACUAAUAAGCUAUCCGGCUUAUCAUAGUAAAUGCCAAGGUCAUGAGUUCGACCCUCAUACUGACCA